This 251-nucleotide ribosomal RNA is filed under the name uncultured prokaryote. RNAcentral describes it as "partial 16S ribosomal RNA". It matches the Rfam family "Bacterial small subunit ribosomal RNA", at positions 525 to 775 of the family's 1533-position model. The record is from RNAcentral.
ACGUAGGGUGCGAGCGUUAAUCGGAAUUACUGGGCGUAAAGCGUACGCAGGCGGCUGGGUAAGACAGGUGUGAAAUCCCCGGGCUUAACCUGGGAACUGCGUUUGUGACUGUAGGGCUUGAGUGCGGCAGAGGGGGGUGGAAUUCCACGUGUAGCAGUGAAAUGCGUAGAGAUCCGGAGGAACCCCGGUGGCGAAGGCGACUUGCUGGGCCUGAACUGACGCUCAGACGCGAAAGCAUGGGGAGCGAACGG